This is a long non-coding RNA of Astyanax mexicanus (Mexican tetra), 582 nucleotides long. RefSeq lists it as uncharacterized. Lineage: Eukaryota; Metazoa; Chordata; Actinopteri; Characiformes; Acestrorhamphidae. The transcript is spliced from 3 exons. The record is from RefSeq and is a predicted model, not a curated record.
CAAAUGCGGACGGCCCUUAUCAGACCAGAAGAAGUGUGAUUAGACCCAGAGAGGAGAACCCAGAGAAACACUCCUACAGCUGUGUAGUGCAGCACAGCAGCAUAGGAGGAAAUAUCACCAAAACAUGGGUUACAGAGACACGCAUCAGAAUGGGAGUUUUUGUGCAUUGUUUUGGCUGUCAUCGGAUGUGGGCUUGUGUUCAGGCAGUUCUGUAGAACUAAAAGUGUUGUGAUUUGAAAGCAGAUGAAGCAGUCUUUCUUCAGUUUUUCCUUUUAAAAGGCUCCAGGUCCAUCUGUCUGUGCUGAAUCCGCCUCCUUUUAAUGGAGAAUCUCUGAUCAUCCUAAGCAUUAAUUGUUUUGUUUUUUUUAUUUGUGUUUUUAAGGGUAUAUGGAUUUGUUGCAAGUGCCAGAGAAGAACACUUUUGAAAACGACAAAUACACAUUUUAGCUACUAGGACGUGAUGCGUGUGUUCAUGAUUUAAAAACUAAAUGUGAUUUAAGAAUACAAACAUUCAUAAGAAGAUACAAAUGUAAAUUGAACCUUAACUUUUCAUGUAUUAAUGUUGACUUUUUGUAUUAGAUA